Molecule: ribosomal RNA, 255 nt
Filed under: uncultured bacterium
Lineage: Bacteria
Description: partial 16S ribosomal RNA
Rfam family: Bacterial small subunit ribosomal RNA
Source: RNAcentral
CGGACGGGUGAGUAACGCGUGGAUAACCUGCCGUAUACCGGGGGAUAACACUUAGAAAUAGGUGAUAAUACCGCAUGAGCGCACAGCUCCGCAUGGAGCGGUGUGAAAAACUCCGGUGGUAUACGAUGGAUCCGCGUCUGAUUAGCCAGUUGGCGGGGUAACGGCCCACCAAAGCGACGAUCAGUAGCCGGCCUGAGAGGGUGAACGGCCACAUUGGGACUGAGACACGGCCCAGACUCCUACGGAAGGCAGCAG